Actinia tenebrosa (Australian red waratah sea anemone) is the source of this 1277-nucleotide long non-coding RNA. The record is from RefSeq and is a predicted model, not a curated record. NCBI's taxonomy places the organism in Eukaryota, Metazoa, Cnidaria, Anthozoa, Actiniaria, Actiniidae.
GUAAAUCUCACUUGACAGCUAGYUACGUCGGGUUGUUGUAAAGAGGAAUUUGUCCAGGAAUUCAAGAAAAAUACGCAUUUUAGUUAUUCGAGGAUGGAAAACCCAGCACUUAUAACUAAAUAUUAYAUUUCCCCUGAACCAAAGCAAACCAACAUUUUCGUUACCUGUAAUCUGGAGAAAAAUCCCGACRAGAGUUGCAGUUGCGAAAGAAGGAUUGAGGAAAUUACUUGUCAAAAAUGUGGCCAUGUGUUUUCAGGAAGAAAACGAAUUCAGUGCAACAUUCACCCAAAUGUCAUUCAUCUGAUGGAUUUUUACCUCUGUCCUAAAUGCAACAAAGAAUUAUAAAUAUAUUAAAUAGAUAAUAAUAAUGUUAUACAUAUAUAGAGUUGCGUUUGUGUUUUAUUCAUUUUCAAUAUGGAUUAUAUUUWAAAAAAUCAUAGUGCAAAUGUAAUGAAUUAUCCUUAUCCGACCGUCUCUCAGUUGAGGGUCAUUUGUAGGCAAAGGUGUGGUGCAUUGUGAGAUAACUGAUAAUUAUCAUUUAUUUAAUAUUGAUUCUAUAUUAAYCUGAUACCAUUUAGAAGUGUCAUUGAUUCGUAACUUUUGAUCAAGUGCAUUAUCGUUCAAAAACAAAUACCCAAGUUUUUUUAUGUCAUGUUUUCAGAACAGUGCUUUAUUAGGAACAGCACUGACUCUUCUGGUUUUGUAUAUUAUUAUAAUUAUGGGAAAAAAUGAUAUUGAUAUUUUGUAUGAUUUAUGAAAACUGCAAAUAUGCAUUAUAGUAUAGCUUCAGUGCGAACAUGUUUUGUCCAUUAAUGAACCCUUCUCAAAAGUAUUGUGGAUACAGGGUUAACACAAAAAUUCAAAAGAAAUCAAACUUUGUAAAUGGAAUUUGUUGCAUUUCUUUUGUAUUUCCAUGUUAGCAUCAAAUUCAAGACAAUUUCAAGAAGGGCCCAUUCAUGGUGUUGUUUGUACUGAUGCUAGGCCAGAAUAUUUUGUGUUUAKGAUAAGGUUGUAUAAUAAUUGCUUUGAGUUUACAUGGACAUUUUCAUUGGUAUACUGGUACUAUAGCUUUCACAUUAGAAAAGGACAUUAUUUUGUUAUGGUUGUUCCAUUUGCUUCAAAUUUUCACAUCUGAUUUGUAGAUUUAUGAGUUUCGUCAUGAAUUGAUUUUACUUGGCCUGUGAAAAAUUAGUUAGCACAGCACAUAGUCAUUAGUUUACAACCUUCAGUUGACAGGCCAAAUCACUCUGCUGUAAUGGAAUUAAUUAUGAUUGUAA